RNAcentral lists this ribosomal RNA (486 nucleotides) under uncultured bacterium. RNAcentral describes it as "partial 16S ribosomal RNA". It matches the Rfam family "Bacterial small subunit ribosomal RNA", at positions 28 to 523 of the family's 1533-position model. The record is from RNAcentral.
GAUGAACGCUGGCGGCGUGCUUAACACAUGCAAGUCGAACGGAAAGGCCCUAGCUUGCUGGGGUACUCGAGUGGCGAACGGGUGAGUAACACGUGGGUGAUCUGCCCUGCACUUUGGGAUAAGCUUGGGAAACUGGGUCUAAUACCGAAUAUGACCACUUCUUGGAUGUUGUGGUGGAAAGCUUUUGCGGUGUGGGAUGAGCCUGCGGCCUAUCAGCUUGUUGGUGGGGUAAUGGCCUACCAAGGCGGCGACGGGUAUCCGGCCUGAGAGGGUGUACGGACACAUUGGGACUGGGAUACGGCCCAGACUCCUACGGGAGGCAGCAGUGGGGAAUAUUGCACAACGGGCGCAAGCCUGAUGCAGCGACGCCGCGUGGGGGAUGAAGGCCUUCGGGUUGUAAACUCCUUUCGCUAUCGACGAAGCCACUUGUGGUGACGGUAGGUAGAUAAGAAGCACCGGCUAACUACGUGCCAGCCGCCGCAGUAA